RNAcentral lists this ribosomal RNA (253 nucleotides) under uncultured bacterium. RNAcentral's name for it is "partial 16S ribosomal RNA". It matches the Rfam family "Bacterial small subunit ribosomal RNA", at positions 524 to 776 of the family's 1533-position model. The record is from RNAcentral.
UACAGAGGUCUCAAGCGUUGUUCGGAUUCAUUGGGCGUAAAGGGUGCGUAGGCGGCGCGGUAAGUCGGGUGUGAAAUUUCGAGGCUUAACUUCGAAACUGCAUUCGAUACUGCCGUGCUAGAGGACUGGAGAGGAGACUGGAAUUUACGGUGUAGCGGUGAAAUGCGUAGAUAUCAGGAAGAACACCGGUGGCGAAAGCGCUCUGCUAGGCCGCAACUGACACUGAGGUACGAAAGCUAGGGGAGCGAAUGGG